Molecule: long non-coding RNA, 2750 nt
Organism: Epinephelus fuscoguttatus (brown-marbled grouper)
Lineage: Eukaryota; Metazoa; Chordata; Actinopteri; Perciformes; Serranidae
Exons: 2
Source: RefSeq, a predicted model, not a curated record
UGAAAGCACCUUCAUAUGAAGGGUCUGCUCACUCAAAUCACAGAAAACAUAUCUUCUCACUUACACCUAGUGGUCAAUAGCCAUGUAGGUAGUUUGAGUUUAUGUACCUAAAUCUGAAGAUUUCUGAAACUUCUUAGUGGUGGGGAAUUUCAUUUUUGCUGCCGUUUCUUUGGUAAAAAGUAGUUCCAUCAAAAACUGUUCUGUUCUUUAAAAGAUCCAGAGUAACUGGGACAUUGUUUGUAGAAAGACACACGUAAUGCUUUGACCCAAUUUGUCUUGGGGUGGUAGCGAAAAUUUUAGACUCAACUAGAGACCAUCUUGCACUGGGAUCACUCCAGCCAAGAUACAGGACCCGCAACUUAAAAAUGAAUGUGGGCAAGGGGCAUAAAGUGGAGGGUGACAAAGCAGCAUUCUGACUAUGCUAUUAAUAACUCAUAGAAACACUGUGCAAUAAUCCAACUUACAACUUCUGUUCCCGUCUCCGUCUUUCUCAGCAAUAACUCUAUUAUCAGUGUUGCUGCACUGAGUCUUUCCGUCAUUCAGCUUUUGACCAAGAAACUCUAUUAUAGUCCAAUAUAUUUAAAUUUCUGAGGUCAUAAAGUCUGGUAAAAAUAUUUUCCUCUGCAAAUAUGUAGGCCUGACACGCUGUCCUAACAGAAAGCAAGUGCCUCUCUGUCCUCACUGAAUCUGUUAAAUAUGCACUUAUAUUUUGUCAUGUAAACAAACCACUGCACCUGUCAGCUGUGCGCCUAAUGUUAACAAACCACAUAGGAAAUCAGCUGUGCGCUCGAUCAUACUUGAGACAUAACCACUGAGGAGAUAGGUGAGUACUUGCUGUCUGCCUACACUUGUACUUUUUAAAAAAGAAAACGUGUUUUAUAAUGUGAUAUUUACUGGAAAUUACAUUUACAGCAAGACUAGUAUGUCAUCAAAAAUGUGACAAAAACGUCAUAGUCAUAACUCAUACCGCAGCGGUGCCUGGACAGCGUGACGUGUGUGGUUGUGCUGCUGCCGUGGUCCCGCCAGAUGCCUCCUGCUGCUGCUGCCAUCAUUAGUCAUUAGUCAUACUUCUUCUGUUAUUAUACACAUAUGAUUAUUGUCACACAUGUAUACUGCCAGGUAUUAAUACAUACUUUCAACAUAUUGUACCGCAGUAACCAGAACUAUAACUAUAAUAUUAUUACUUUCAUUAAUGUUGUUGUAAGCUACUGUCAUUACCUGCAUCUCUCUCUCUCUCUCUCUCUCUCUCUCUCUGUCUCUCUCUGUCUCAUUGUGUCAUGUGGAUUACUGUUAAUUUAUUAUGCUGAUCUGUUCUGUACGACAUCUAUUGCACGUCUGUCCGUCCUGGAAGAGGGAUCCCUCCUCAGUUGCUCUUCCUGAGGUUUCUACCGUUUUUUUUCCCCGUUAAAGGGUUUUUUUGGGGAGUUUUUCCUUAUCCGCUGUGAGGGUCUUAAGGACAGAGGGAUGUCGUAUGCUGUAAAGCCCUGUGAGGCAAAUUGUGAUUUGUGAUAUUGGGCUUUAUAAAUAAAAUUGAUUGAUUGAUUGAUAGUAUAAUAUGUUAUCAAAAAUGUGACAAAAAUGUCAUAGUAUAGUAUAGUAUGUCAACAAAAAUGUCACAAAAACGUCAGUAUAGUAUGUCAUCAAAAAUGUCAUAAAAACGUCAUAUUAUAGCAUGUCAUCGAAAAUGUCACAAAAACGUCAUAUUAUAGCAUGUCAUCGAAAAUGUGAUAAAAACAUUAUCGUAUAGUAUGCCAUCAAAAAUAUCACAAAAACAUCAUAGUAUAGUAUGUCAUCAAACGUGAUAAAAAGUCAUAGUAUACUAUGUCAUUGAAAAUGUGACAAAAACGUCAUCAAAAAUGUGACAAAAACGUCAUAGUAUAUUACGUCAUCAUGUCGUCAAAAAUGUGACAAAAACGUCAUAGUAUAUUGUGUCAUCAAAAAUGUCACAAUUGUGUCAUCAAAAAUGUGAUAAAAACAUCAUAGUAUAGUAUGUCAUCAAAAAUGUGACAAAAACGUCAUAGUAUAGUAUGUCAUCAAAAAUGUGACAAAAACGUCAUAGUAUACUAUGUCACCAAAAACGUCAUAGUAUAGUAUGUCAUCAAAAAUGUGACAAAAACGUCAUAGUAUAGCAUGCCAUCGACAAUGUGACAAAAACGUCAUACUAUAAUAUGUUAUCAAAAAUGCGACAAAAACUUUAUAGUAUGUCAUCAAAAAUGUCACAAAAACGUCAUAGUAAAGCAUGCCAUCAAAAAUGUGACAAAAGCGUCAUAGUAUAGUAUGUCAUCAAAAAUAUCACAAAAACGUCAUAGUAUAGUAUGUCAUCAAAUGUGAUAAAAACGUCAUAGUAUACUAUGUCAUCAAAAAUGUGAUAAAACGUCAUAGUAAAGCAUGUCAUCAAAAAUGUGAUAAAAACGUGAUAGUAUAGGUAUGUCAUCAAAAAUGUGAUAAAACAUCAUAGUAUAGUAUGUCAUCAAAAAUGUGAUUAAAAACGUCAUAGUUUAGCAUGUCAUCAAAAAUGUGAUAAAAACGCCAUAGCAUACUAUGUCAUCAAAAAUGUCACAAAAACGUCAUAGUAAAGCAUGCCAUCAAAAAUGUGACAAAAGCGUCAUAGUAUAGUAUGUCAUCAAAAAUAUCACAAAAACGUCAUAGUAUAGUAUGUCAUCAAACGUGAUAAAAACGUCAUAGUAUACUAUGUCAUCAAAAAUGUGAUAAAACGUCAUAGUAUAGUAUGUCAUCAAACGUGAUAAAAA